Molecule: ribosomal RNA, 523 nt
Filed under: uncultured bacterium
Lineage: Bacteria
Description: partial 16S ribosomal RNA
Rfam family: Bacterial small subunit ribosomal RNA
Source: RNAcentral
GACGAACGCUGGCGGCGUGCCUAAUACAUGCAAGUCGAACGCUUUUUCUUUCACCGGAGCUUGCUCCACCGAAAGAAAAAGAGCGGCGAACGGGUGAGUAACACGUGGGUAACCUGCCCAUCAGAAGGGGAUAACACUUGGAAACAGGUGCUAAUACCGUAUAACACUAUUUUCCGCAUGGAAGAAAGUUGAAAGGCGCUUUUGCGUCACUGAUGGACGGACCCGCGGUGCAUUAGCUAGUUGGUGAGGUAACGGCUCACCAAGGCAACGAUGAAUAGCCGACCUGGGAGGGUGAUCGGCCACACUGGGACUGAGACACGGCCCAGACUCCUACGGGAGGCAGCAGUAGGGAAUCUUCGGCAAUGGACGAAAGUCUGACCGAGCAACGCCGCGUGAGUGAAGAAGGUUUUCGGAUCGUAAAACUCUGUUGUUAGAGAAGAACAAGGAUGAGAGUAGAACGUUCAUCCCUUGACGGUAUCUAACCAGAAAGCCACGGCUAACUACGUGCCAGCCGCCGCCGUAA